Molecule: ribosomal RNA, 560 nt
Filed under: uncultured bacterium
Lineage: Bacteria
Description: bacterial SSU rRNA
Rfam family: Bacterial small subunit ribosomal RNA
Source: RNAcentral
UGAACGCUGGCGGCAUGCUUUACACAUGCAAGUCGAACGGCAGCGAGAGAGAAGCUUGCUUCUCUUGUCGGCGAGUGGCGAACGGGUGAGUAAUACAUCGGAACGUACCCUGUAGUGGGGGAUAACUACUCGAAAGAGUAGCUAAUACCGCAUACAACCUGAGGGUAAAAGUGGGGGACCGCAAGGCCUCACGCUAUAGGAGCGGCCGAUGGAAGAUUAGCUAGUUGGUAGGGUAAAGGCCUACCAAGGCGACGAUCUUUAGCGGGUCUGAGAGGACGAUCCGCCACACUGGGACUGAGACACGGCCCAGACUCCUACGGGAGGCAGCAGUGGGGAAUUUUGGACAAUGGGCGAAAGCCUGAUCCAGCAAUGCCGCGUGAGUGAAGAAGGCCUUCGGGUUGUAAAGCUCUUUUGUUUGGGAAGAAAUCCUAAAGGCUAAUAUCCUUUGGGGAUGACGGUACCAAAAGAAUAAGCACCGGCUAACUACGUGCCAGCAGCCGCGGUAAUACGUAGGGUGCAAGCGUUAAUCGGAAUUACUGGGCGUAAAGCGUGCGCAGGCG